CAAACCUCUAGCCGGAGCGUGCAGAGGGGCACGUUGAGGAGCUCUAACCCCAAGGCAGCAUCUAGGAGUGAAUGUUUAUAGCUCCUGAGUCUCCUGUGGGUGUGUGUUACCCCGUGCUCUUUUAGUUUAGUCAUCUGUAAGAAGCUUGUGUUUAUCAGCUCAAUUAGAUCCCUUGCCUUAUUGCAAGGAUAGAGGGCUUUUCUGUAUUUCGGGGUUUCUUUCCUUGGUGUACCGGAAGAAUUGGAUUACACCCGGGCCUGGACAAUCAGCGCAAGGUUUUAUUGAGCGGAAGUAGCUCUCAGCAGAUGGGGAAGACAGAAGGGAGAGAUGGAGUGGGAAGUUGGUUUUCCCCUGGGGUAGGGCUGCUCAGCAGCAGGGCUCUCCUCUGUCCGCCCCAGCCAAAAUCUGCUUCGGGCCUCGAUGGCCUGCCAGCCUGCCAGCAUCCGCCGGUGCGCUCUUACUCAGGCUGAAGCACAAAGGCAUGAUCAAAGCUCAUGGCAGCCUCAAGUUCCUGGGUUCAAAUGAUCCUCUCACCUCAGCCUUGCAAGUAGAGCACUAUCUUCUCAGAGGAUUUGAUGCAUGAACACUGUAGAUGAUUGAAUUGAGCUUCACUGGAUGAUAGCAUGUGUUUGCGUUUCCUCUUAUAACUCAUGAUAUUACAAUUUUAUCCUUCAAAAAAAAAUCUUUGUUAUGGUACUUUCUAGGGGAAAAGAAUUCUUCCACAAUUAGGCCCUCUUUAAAACAUGGUUUUGCCCAUUCUGAAAAAUGUAAACAGAAGUCUUAACAAUUGAGGAGUUAGGAUUGAUGGAAUAGCCACAAUGGACAAAAUUUAAGCCUUGGAAUUACUUGGAGAUUUAUGUUGCAUUUUCCUGUUUCCCCCCCCCCCAGUGUGGCUUUAGUAUUGCUAAAUAUCUUUCGUUAACUAAUCAUCAAGGGUAACCCCUAUAUGCAUAAUGUCAAGUGAAGCAGAGGGUUGAGAAGGACAGUCAGAAGAGAAGGCAUCCAAGUCUUACACGCUGAAAAAUAAAGCAUGUUUCUUAAAAUUCAUAAAAUAGCAAUGCAUCUUGCAACACAAAACUGACCAUAUUUAUAUAAAUAUUAUAUUUUUGUGUUUGAUAGUUAUGAAAAAUGAGAGCAUAGAGAGUAUUACUUUCAAAAAUCUGAUAUAAAGUUUAAAUUCACCAAAUGAAAUCUAAAAUUCAUUUAGAAAAUAUAAACUUUUAUUUGGAAUGAGAUUGUGUAAUGUAUUUGAUUCACAUUAUAAGUAAAAUCAUAUAUCCUGCAUUUGUGAGUAGAAGACACAUAGAAAAAAGAUGUUUGUUUUACUUUAAAACAAUGAGUUUCUUAGAAAAUGCAAAACAUUUGUGAGUAGAUAUUGCUAAAUGCUAACAUGAGAAAAGAUUGAGUCAUUUUAUUCACCCAUAUAUUAGCUCGGAAUCUAAAAUAUAGAUAAACAUUUUGUGAAGCCAGAAAAAUAUGUUUAAAAUCAUUACUUUUUGUAGCUCUUUUUCUUCCAUAUCAGUGCUAUUGUUUAUAGCUGAAGAACCUUGAGGCUUCCAGUUUGUAUUUUUCUUCCCAUGCCAGUGAUUUGUGGUAUUAGUGCAGGUCAUUGAUUCUGUACUGCUGAGCUAUCCAGCUUAUGGCAGACAAGGGAGCUGAGUGUGUCUUUAAAGUGCCCUUUACUUUCAAAAUUCAAGUUGUAGAAAUGACACCUCUGGUUUUAUAACUGUGCAGCUUGCACUGUGUUGCAUAAAAUGUUCUCCCAAGUGGACAAGGUUAGUUGUUUUGGAGACUAAUUCUCAUUUUUUGUGUUCAAGUUGGGUUGAAAAUAAGAUCCUAUCUUAGAAUAGGAUUCUAUUCUUAGAAUAGGAUCUUAUUGCAUAAGAAUCCCUCAUAAAAAUGGGAUCUUAUUGCAUACGUUUUCAGUCUGGGUCCUGCAACUAUAUUAAGUAAUAGUAGUAGGUAAGCCAAAACUUACUUUACAUAUUAUCUGCUGAAGUAAAUAUGCCAGGCAUUUAGCAGUGGGUUCUUCGUCAUUUAAGGAUUGUGAUGCUAAUAAUGUUAAUAUCAGAAUUAAUCAAUCUUGCUACAAAAUAAUUUAUACUGCUAUAUAAUCUACAAUGAUAUUUUUAAGCAAAAGUUAUAUAAUUUUAAAACUCUACUGACAAACUCUAUAUCUAGAAGAAUUACUAAGUAAAAGAUGAGAUGAUAAAUCUUUUAAUUCCAUCAAUAUGGAGAUUAUUAUCCUAUAUAUACAUAUAGGACUAGCAAAGUUAGCUCUACACUACUGAAUAUAUAAAUUCAUAUAAUCAUAAGAUUUUACAAAUGUAGUUUUAUUUUUCUGAAACAUUCUUUUAAUUUUUUUCCAAACUUUUCCUGACAAGUUCCUACCUAUUUUUUUCAGGUCUGCUUUGUUGUUUUUGUUUUGUAAUUUUGGAAUAAGUUUAUUCAUCUACUGUGGAUUUCCAUCACACCACACAUCUUCAUUGCAGCUACAUUAAAAUACAAGUUUCUCCCCCAUAUAGUUACGUGAGAAUAGAGAUCAUACCUUUCCUGCUCAUCAAGAUAUUUUCAACAUCUGAUACUGUGGUUUGAAUUGGAUCUGAACACAUGCUCUGGAGUUAAACUGACGAGGUGUAAAUACCGGCUCAGCCACUUAGCAAUUAUGUGAGGUUGGCCAAAUGACUUCACCAGUCUUUAUGAAGAUUAAAUGAUGUAAUACUUAUACAGUGCCUAGAAUAGGAUCUAUCUGGCAUAUUAUAAAACUAUGGCAAAUGGCAAGUAUUAAUAUGACUAUUAUUAUAAUUCUAUAAAUAUUCAUUAAAUUAAUGUUGAAUUUGUUUAGAUGUAGUGUGCAUUUUAUAUUCAGAGGAUAUGCCUUUAUUGAUAUAAAUAAAAAUAUUUUAAUAAACAACUAGAUAAACCAAAGUCAUCUCUUUGGUAAAUGUCUCAUAACUGAAAUUAUUUGAUAAAUAACUAAUUAGGGUGAUAGCCUGAAAACUCUAUUAUCUUCAAAGAUUAACAACUAAAUUGUAGCAUUCAAAGAUUGACAUAUAGAAUAUAAGUAAAAAUGUAAAUAUAUAUUAUAUUUAAUUAAGAUAUUACUGUAGUUAUAAUAAAACUUCAUAAUUCACAUUUGAUAUUUUUUCCAAAUUAAAAAUAUUCUGGUGGAGAAUUUUGGAGCCUUGAUUGCUCAUUUCUCUCUGUGUUGGAGAACACCUUACACUGAGGGAGAAAAUGUACACCAUACUCAUAGAUAUUUAUUUUAUCUGCUUCUCUAUAGAGGUCUUGGAUUUGCAUCUACUUCUUACUCGGUGGAUUUUCAAAUUACAGUUGACCCUUGAAAAACACAGGUUUGAACUGUGCAUAUUCACAUAUACAAUGAUUUUCUCCUGCCUCUGCACCUCCUGAGACAGAAAGACUACCCUGUCCUCGUCCUUCUCCUCAGCCUACUCAAUGUGAAGACAAGAAUGAAGACCUUUAUGAUGAUGCAUUUCUACUUAAAAUGAAUAACAAACAUAGUGUGUCUUCCUUAUAAUUUUCUUAAUAACAUUUUCUCUAUCUUUAUUUUUAAAAAUACAGUAUAUAAUACAUAUAACAUACAAAAUAUGUGUUAAUUGAAUGUUUAUGUCUUCAGUGAGGCUUCCAUUCAACAGUAAUCUAAGAGUUCAGUUUUAGAGGAGUUAAAAGUUAUACCAGGAUUUUCAACUGUUCCCCUAAUCCCUAAGUUGUUCAAGGGUCAGUCGAAUUUUAAUUGUUGUGGGACUUGUCACUCAGUGUAACCUGAAACUUUCUAAUGCCUAAUACUUAUCAGAAAGUACAAGUGGAAGAACUAAUAAUUAUUGAAUAUGCCAGAAAGAUGAACAGUAUAUCAAUUUUUGUAAAUAAUCUAAUUUUAAUAUUGGAUGAUGCUAAGUUACUGGGAAGAUUUAUGCCAGGUUCAAAUCACUUUUUCUGUACUUUUAGAAUUAUAUAAUCAGUAUACAUUGAAAAAUGCAUAGCACUUUAAUGAAACACAUUACUAUGUCUACCAUAGAAUUGUUUUAGCAGACUUCAUCAUAUCACAUAGAGUCAUCAGGAUGGAGGGAAGAAAUAUGUCUCUCAUCUCAUUAUCAAGAUUACCAAUGAUACUUUUCAAUAAUUUAUUUUUGCCUUAUGUACACUUUGAAUCUUGUAAAUAAUUCACCUAUCUCUAUUGGGUUAGCUGCUAGAAAGUUGAAAAGCCAAUUCAUAGUCCACAUCGUAGCUGUUUCAUAAGACUUCUUGAAUCCAUGCGUUUUGUUUACCUU
Molecule: long non-coding RNA, 4289 nt
Filed under: Homo sapiens (human)
Lineage: Eukaryota; Metazoa; Chordata; Mammalia; Primates; Hominidae
Description: HSALNT0109974
Source: RNAcentral